GUGGACACUUUUCUGCGUAACCUAUUCCGUUCCGUUUCCGCUCCUCUUUGAUGCUUCUAAGAAACUUUUACUCUAUAAUGACUUUCAAAGAACAAUGCCCACUACAUGCUUUUUCAAUGUCUCUGUACUACUUAUCAAGCUCUCUCAUAGAUUGUAUGUAUAUAUAUAUAUAUAUAUAAGAUGUGAGAUUUUUCACUGAAUAUCUUUUUACUCCUUACAGAUUAUUAAAACCACAAACGCUGUUAGAAUCCGAAACAACAGCUUGAUUUAUCCUACCUCAAAGCUGGUCGCUGCAGGAAGAGUGUUGUUACCCAGAUCCUUUGUUCCUGCGAAGAUCAGAAGUUCAAGAAACGAGGCGACAUGAUGGGUGUUGAUCUUUUUUUUUUUUUUUUUGAUAAGUAUGAUGGGUGUUUGAUCUUCUUCUGGUUGAUGGAAAGUCAAUUAUGAUUCAAGCGUCAAUCAAGCUUUAUGAGCUUAGCCUCACUGAUGUGAGUAGAAACAAUCAAAGCUUCCGCUUUGCCUGUUCGAGCAUGAACUUAAUACUGAUGGAGCUAUUUUGGUUCUGCAGUUACAAUCAGUUGAGGCUAAUAUACAAACACCGACUUACCUGGUCGACUCUUCCUAAAUUCAACUUCUUGAACACAUUUCUACUUUGACAAGGAGAGUAGCGCAGGCAUCAGUUACUUUAAAGUGCUGAUGCAAGAUGGAGGUGUCAAGAAGAUCGAGUCAAUAACACUAUCGGAGCUGAAUGCUUAUGUUCUGAGUUCACACCCCCGAGACUGCAUAGUUUCAAUGCCCUGGGAAGCUUACUGAACUAAAUGGUCUCCGUUCAACCACCGAGAUGCCUACAUGGUUGAACUUUAGAUGAUGAUGUUGGACACUCUGCAAAGAAGGCCCUCCAUGGUUGAACUUUAGAGUCCGAGUGUCCAUUACACCAUUUUAGACUUUCACAAAUCACAGUUACUCUACUCUCCUAUUUUUUUAUUAAAAAAAAAAUUGUUGCAUCACUAAAAUCGAGUUCAAAUCUAUUGUGUGGUGUUUUGACUGGUUUUGGCUGUUUAAAAAAAUU
This is a long non-coding RNA of Brassica oleracea var. oleracea, 1069 nucleotides long. RefSeq lists it as uncharacterized. The transcript is spliced from 5 exons. Lineage: Eukaryota; Viridiplantae; Streptophyta; Magnoliopsida; Brassicales; Brassicaceae. The record is from RefSeq and is a predicted model, not a curated record.